Molecule: ribosomal RNA, 253 nt
Filed under: uncultured bacterium
Lineage: Bacteria
Description: partial 16S ribosomal RNA
Rfam family: Bacterial small subunit ribosomal RNA
Source: RNAcentral
UACGAAGGGGGCUAGCGUUGUUCGGAUUUACUGGGCGUAAAGCGCACGUAGGCGGAUCUUUAAGUCAGAGGUGAAAUCCCAAGGCUCAACCUUGGAACUGCCUUUGAUACUGGGGAUCUUGAGUCCGGGAGAGGUGAGUGGAACUGCGAGUGUAGAGGUGAAAUUCGUAGAUAUUCGCAAGAACACCAGUGGCGAAGGCGGCUCACUGGCCCGGUACUGACGCUGAGGCACGAAAGCGUGGGGAUCAAACAGG